UGGGGAAUCUUGCACAAUGGGCGAAAGCCUGAUGCAGCAACGCCGCGUGCGGGAAGACAGCCCUAGGGUUGUAAACCGCUUUCAGCAGGGAAGAAACUGACGGUACCUGCAGAAGAAGAUGCGGCCAACUACGUGCCAGCAGCCGCGGUGACACGUAGGCAUCAAGCGUUAUCCGGAUUUAUUGGGCGUAAAGAGCUCGUAGGCGGUCCGUUGCGUCUGCCGUGAAAACCCGGAGCUCAACUCCGGGCCUGCGGUGGAUACGGGCGGACUAGAGUCCGGUAGGGGAGACUGGAAUUCCUGGUGUAGCGGUGGAAUGCGCAGAUAUCAGGAGGAACACCGGUGGCGAAGGCGGGUCUCUGGGCCGGAACUGACGCUGAGGAGCGAAAAGCGUGGGGAGCGAACAGGAUUAGAUACCCUGGUAGUCCACGCCGUAAACGGUGGGCGCUAGGUGUGGGGAUCGUUUCCACGAUCUCCGUGCCGUAGCUAACGCAUUAAGCGCCCCGCCUGGGAGUACGGCCGCAAGGCUAAAACUCAAAGGAAUUGA
This 544-nucleotide ribosomal RNA is filed under the name uncultured bacterium. RNAcentral's name for it is "bacterial SSU rRNA". It matches the Rfam family "Bacterial small subunit ribosomal RNA", at positions 355 to 913 of the family's 1533-position model. The record is from RNAcentral.